This is a long non-coding RNA of Astyanax mexicanus (Mexican tetra), 642 nucleotides long. RefSeq lists it as uncharacterized. Lineage: Eukaryota; Metazoa; Chordata; Actinopteri; Characiformes; Acestrorhamphidae. The transcript is spliced from 3 exons. The record is from RefSeq and is a predicted model, not a curated record.
CGAGAAACAUAAAGUAAACAGGGUGUGUGAGGAUUACAGGUGUGUGAGAGUGAGGUGUGUGAAGUAGUCAGCAGGUGUGUGAGUAUUACUGGUAGUCAGGGUAAGGUAGUGAGCAGGUGUGUGAGGAUUACAGGUGUGUGAGAGUGAGGUGUGUGAAGUAGUGAGCAGGUGUGUGAGGAUUACAGGUGUGUGAGAGUGAGGUGUGUGAAGUAGUGAGCAGGUGUGUGAGGAUUACUGGUAGUCAUGGUGAGGUAGUGAGCAGGUGUGUUAGGAUUACAGGUGUGUGAGAGUGAGGUGUGUGAAGUAGUGAGCAGGUGUGUGAGGAUUACAGGUGUGUGAGAGUGAGGUGUGUGAAGUAGUGAGCAGGUGUGUGAGGAUUACUGGUAGUCAGGGUGAGGUAGUGAGCAGGUGUGUUAGGAUUACAGGUGUGUGAGAGUGAGGUAUGUGAGGUAGUGAGCAGGUGUGUUAGGAUUACAGGUGUGUGAGAGUGAGGUGUGUGAAGUAGUGAGCAGGUGUGUUAGGAUUACAGGUGUGUGAGAGUGAGGUAUGUGAGGUAGUGAGCAGGUGUGUGAGGAUUACAGGUGUGUGAGAGUGAGGUAUGUGAGGUAGUGAGCAGGUGUGUGAGGAUUACAGGUGUGUGAG